RNAcentral lists this non-coding RNA (17 nucleotides) under Mus musculus (house mouse). The record is from RNAcentral. Lineage: Eukaryota; Metazoa; Chordata; Mammalia; Rodentia; Muridae.
GGGCUGGAGAGAUGGCU